UUCAAUUAUAUGAUUUAUUCCUUUUUCUCUAUAACAAAGAAAAAUAGAAAUAAAUGAACUUUCUCACAUGCCAUAUUUUAGUUAUUCUAUAUUUAUUUAGAUCACUGGAUUUCUUGACCAUAGAUCACUCCUACUUUUUGAGAUGGACCUUUUUUUACAUUUUGGUGUGAUAAAAAAAAGAUGUAAGAUCUUCUCAAUCAUUCUUGCUUGGCUCAAUUAGUUGAAUUUCUCCAAAUCUUUCAGAUUGUCUCAUAAAUUCCCAACUAGCGAAUCACUCUAAGUUUUUGAUAUGGAGUUUUUAUUUUUGUAACUUCUCCAUAAUUGUCACAAUCUAUUCCAAACCAUGUAUUUCUUCAUUGAUCUAUAUUUUGCUUCUGUAUUUACUCUUUUUUUCCUAAAUCUCUACCAAGUCUCAGAUCUUGGAACACUACGAAAUGAACAACCUUCUCCUCAAUAUAUGUUAUCUUAGUAAUGGUUCUCUCUAAUGUGCAUUGCACAUGCUUGUUUGCUAGUGUUUUCAUUAGGCAUUGUUUUGCAAGUCAUCAUUCCCUCCUGCAUGUCUCCAGCCUUCUAAGAUACUAGGUAUUGAGGAUUUCAUCUUGGUUAAAUUAUUGGUUUUUAUCUCUAUUGGCAACUCACUAAAAUGAUAUAAUUGAUAUAGACUGAAUAUUCCAAAUUCUUGGCCAUAUAAUAUUUAAAUAUUGGCUAAUAUUAGUCUUUUAUAUUUAAAUAUUUGCUAGACUUUAAUAUCAUGAUUCUUAUAAUUUUGGUCAAGAUCUGAAGAUAUCUUGGAUCUUUCCCGAUUUACCAUUUCCCAUUUUAGUUGAGACAAAUAGAUAUCUCAGUCCAUCGCUGUCUCUAUCACCCACCAAGAUGGUUAAGAUUUUGUCUUAAAAACCUAGUUGAAUGUAUCUCUUUCAUCCCUGGCUCCCUGCCAAGUAAUCUUCUUGGGUUGUUUGAGCCAAGAUUCGCUGUCUUGAUACCGGAUUCUAUAUCGAUACCAUCCUAUUAUAAUGUCGGUAUGUUGUUCGGUACAGUACGAGAUGGCAUAUCGUAUAUUGGUACAGUAUGAGACACUAUAUCGAUAUGAGAUUGGUAUGGUACGGGAUGUACUGAGCGGUUUUGGUUUGGUACGGCAUUUUAUGAUUUGGCCCUUCGAAUCAAUACAAAUCAUAUUAUAAUAGGUCUCAUACAACAAAAUGAUUGGGGUAUCUGUUGUCCAUUAAUUUUAAAUGGGGCCUCAUUUUGAUUUUUUUUACUAAAAUUGCGUGCUACUUUGACUUUCAUUUUGCUGAUUUUUGAGCAUACUAAAGCUUUCAUCCUACAUCAAAUUUAGCAUUUAAUUUUGUUUUUGUCUCAUCAAUUAGUACUAUAUUAUCUGCAAUUAACAUGCAAAUAGUACAUCUUCCUUAGUAUAGAGAGGGUGGAGGUGUUUCAGGGGAUAAAACUAAUAAUGAUACAUACAGGGACGAUUGUGAUAUCACCUUUUAGUGGGUUGAGAGGGAAAAUUGAGAGUACCAUUUGUUUGCUGUCUUAUAUCUCAUAAUAAAUCUCCCAGCUUUAUUGUCAUUGUUAGCUUCACUUUUAGAGCAACAAUUUUGAAGAAACAAGUAUGCUGACCUGAACACAAUAUAUUGAUAAUCUGAACCAUAUCCAACAUCAAACAAGUUGGAACAACAUGUUUUUCAUCGAACAAAUGGUAAAAAGAUUAUAGAGAAAAUGAAUAAUUUCAUUAUGUCCCCCCCCCCCCCCCCAACUCAAAAAAAACCAAAAAAAAAGAGAAUAAUUUCAUUCAGAUGAUAUUGAAAGGGAAAACAUAAUACUUCAUAAAACCCUUGGAUCCUUUUCUGCAUUAUUGAUCAAUCAUUAUCCAAUCUUGUCCUCCAUAUUGAAUAGAGUAUUGUUUGGUGGUGUGCUGUUAGCUUUAUUAUCUAGAAUACCAGAUAAAAUUCUUCUGUAUUUGUUGUCCAGCUGGCUGAUUCUUUUGUUAUAAGAUAUGAAAUCACUAGUCAAUGGGCUGUCGCAUAUCUUUGUUGGGUAUACGUGCUCUAAAAGAUGCCUUGGCAUAUGAUGACAUGACUGCCAAAGAAGGUGCUUAGCUGAAUAUGUUUUCAGUGGCUGACUAAAUGACUGUUGCAUUCCUUCAGUUCAAGCUGUCACUCUUAACCAAGUCCAUGUCUUCUUUUAGAUCCUCAAAUGAGAUGUUAAUACAUAUUUCAUAGUGCAAGGUGAACUGUGCCUUCUUAGGUAGCUUAAUCCUUUCCGGCAAACUGUUGCAGACCUUUAGACCAUGAAGAAUAGUUCCAUGGCCAAGGUUUUGUGACAAUUUAUUACAGGGGAAUAUGGAGUUGCAGCUUUAUGUUCCAGGUUCUUCAUUUAUUUUAGCUGACCAUGUCAUGUAUCUUUUCUCGUCGCAACCGUUUUGUCUCUGUAAGUAAUAUUGUUAUUUCAUUCCAUUCCCCACAAUGUUUUUUUGUCACAACCGUUUUGUCUCUGUAAGUAAUAUUGUUAUUUCAUUCCAUUCCCCACAAUGUUUUUUUCCCAUAUUUUUGUGCAUUGGUGUUCUCUUAAAAUUCCCUAUGCCUCACUAAUGUAGUCCAGAUCAAGGAAUAUGAGUUUUACAUGUGUAGAGGACCCAUUUGUGGGCCCAAUUUGAUUUUUUGGUCAAAAGACUGGAACUAGAUCUUGAUCAUAAUCCUUUUUGGCCUUAAAUAGUGAUUGUUUGAAGUUGUACAUCCACAUCACUAACCCCCAUCAUGUGCUACUUUGCGUAUCCAUAUUAAGAAGAGCAUUCUGGGAGUCAUCACCCUCUUCAUUUUGCAUGGAUAUGGCCAGAAAGAAGGGCCUAUUUCCUACAUUUCGAUGUGAAUAGUGAGAGGGUAAGGAAAGUAGAAGAAAGAAGCGAGUGAGUGAGUUAGAGAGAGAGAGAGAGAGAGCUUGCUGUUCAUCUUCUUUCUUCUUAUCUUAUAAUCUCAUCCUUUCAUUGAAGUUGAAUUGCUAUUGCAUGUAUGCUGUAUUUUGAGUCAUCUAGGGUUUUUGAGAGGAGAGAUAAGGUGUAAUGCCAGAUGUUUACUGAAUACCAAAAAUUUUUUGCUUCCCUUUUGUCCAAUGGAACCUAGUCUAAGGCUUGAUUUGCCUCAGAACGGUAAUACAAUCCAAAUGUCUGGAUUUACAGCCAUUAAGACCAAUAUUUUCAAAUAGUGAUGACACAAUAUCUGAGAUUCAUAUUCGAAUCCUUACUAGUUGAAAACGUCAGCAGGGGUGUUGUGUCCAGAAUCUUUCCAUGAAUUCAGUUUUGCAACUGCUUGCUCAGUUUUUUUUAUUGUAAAUUUCAUGAAAUGUUGUUUCCCCACUCCAACACCCAUACCCACCCCUUCAUCUAUUAAUGCUUCAAUUAAUUAAUUUAGAUCUAAGGUGAUUCAUGAGAUGGGGAGUUAGCAAUCCCCUCACAUCAUUCGGCUUUUCUCCUUUAUUUACAAAAUUUGGUACUCAUUCGUGCCUUUUUCUUUCCUACUGCCAAAAUAUUUUCCAUAAAAGAACCAGUUUUUCUCUGCAUUGUUUUCUUGACCAUCUUGUGCUCUCCUUGGAGCCAAAUUUUGUUGCCUUCGACUGCUGGCAACAAUAUGAUGAUUCUUUAAAGCACUUAAUAUGGACACUGUCCGAUAAGAGUGAAUUGCAAAGUUAUCUCAUGCAGCCCUCUCGGGCCUCUUUUCCUCUGUCAGAACAUUGUUGGACUGACAUGCACUUAUUGUGGUUUGAGAACCUGGGUAUAGCAGAAUUUUGUAUCCAUGUUCAUUUUCCUCUUCUCAUCUUCACCUACUAAAUUAAGCAUGUUGUUUCCACUUAAAUCACUCAAAUGAUGCCAAAUGUGUGCAAGAAUCGAUUAUGAAAGGAUGAACCUUCUAAAGCUAGUUUAUGCAAUAAAUCAAAAUCACAAUUUUGUAUCCCGCCAAGAUAAAUACGUUUAACAGCCAAUGGUAUACCUAUUAUAUUCCUUUCCCAAGUCCCGGCAAAAUUUCAAGAAAAUGGAAAAAGUAAAAAAUUUUAGCAAAAAAAAAAAAAAAAUCCCAUUUCAAAAGCACAACCAACAAAAAAAAAAAAAAUUGAGAACCCUCAUCGCCGCCUUCAUAAAGUAAAGCAAAGAGAUCGUCGUGAAACCCCGACCAAUCGAAGCUCUCUUCCGCCGCACCGAUGCCACUCUUGCCACUCCGGUAUUACGAUCCGCCGGAAUCAUCCUAUCGCCGCCCGCCUGCUGGAAAGUUCAGGACUCCCUGGCGGACAUGUCUCCGGCGAUCGUAGAUUUCCGGACACCGGCGGCCGCCUCUUCCCAGGUCCACCCCAGGCGAUCCCCUCCUUCAAACUCUGGAAAAGGUCAGAUCCUCGUCCCCCCUCCCUCUUUCUCCUUCCAUCCCACUGGCAUUCCCCCCACCGAUCGCCCCUCCGUUUCUACCUCCGCCUCUCCGAUGGAUAAGGUGAACCUAGGGCAUUCAUUUUCGGGCUCCGGGAACUCCAUUGAUGGCGGUCUCAAUGAUGAUUUCGCUUCCUCUGCCCCUUCUUUGCCACCGUCCACAUUUCCCUCGGUUUCGGCCGUCGGGAAGCCUUCGCCGGCGGCGGGCUCUCGAAGCCCUGCCCCGUGAAGGUGAGGAAGUAUUUCGCGUCCUCCCGGGUGAGGCCAACUUUAGCUUCGGAGGUGAGAGAUGCUUCGGGGUUCAACCCGUUUCGAACGGAGCCGGCAGUUUCGGCUGCUGGUGCAGCCGAUCAGAAGGAGGGUGGUAGAAUGCGUGGGCUGAGUGAGAAGCUUCAUUCGUGGAAGCAAUUCGGUUCUGAGCCAGGAAUUACGGUUCCUGAGAAUUCAAGUGGUCCUUCUGUUUUCCCACAAACGUAUUUUGUACUUCCCCCUACGGUUAAUGAAAAACCAGUCUUCUAAACUCUCUUUUGGAGUGAAAUGUAUGAAGUUCUCUAAA
Molecule: non-coding RNA, 4964 nt
Organism: Elaeis guineensis (African oil palm)
Lineage: Eukaryota; Viridiplantae; Streptophyta; Magnoliopsida; Arecales; Arecaceae
Source: RefSeq, a predicted model, not a curated record